UGGGGAAUAUUGGUCAAUGGAGGAAACUCUGAACCAGCAACGCCGCGUGAAUGAUGAAGGUCUUCGGAUUGUAAAGUUCUUUUCUAAGGGAAGAAGAAAGUGACGGUACCUUAGGAAUAAGCCUCGGCUAACUACGUGCCAGCAGCCGCGGUAAUACGUAGGAGGCGAGCGUUAUCCGGAAUGACUGGGCGUAAAGGGUGCGUAGGUGGUUUGACAAGUUGGUAGCGUAAUUCCGAGGCUCAACCUCGGCGCUACUACCAAAACUGUCGGACUUGAGUGCAGGAGGGGCAAUCGGAAUUCCUAGUGUAGCGGUGGAAUGCGCAGAUAUUAGGAGGAACACCGGUGGCGAAGGCGGAUUGCUGGACUGUAACUGACACUGAGGCACGAAAGCGUGGGGAGCAAACAGG
Molecule: ribosomal RNA, 407 nt
Filed under: uncultured bacterium
Lineage: Bacteria
Description: bacterial SSU rRNA
Rfam family: Bacterial small subunit ribosomal RNA
Source: RNAcentral